AGGGCACCACCAGGAGUGGAGCCUGCGGCUUAAUUUGACUCAACACGGGGAAACUCACCCGGCCCGGACACCGGAAGGAUUGACAGAUUGAUAGCUCUUUCUUGAUUCGGUGGAUGGUGGUGCAUGGCCGUUCUUAGUUGGUGGAGCGAUCUGUCUGGUUAAUUCCGAUAACGAACGAGACUCUAGCCUAUUAAAUAGACGUCGGGUUCUCUGCACUCGACGGUCUUCUUAGAGGGACAAGGUGCUUUUAGCACCGCGAAACAGAGCAAUAACAGGCCUGUGAUGCCCUUAGAUGUCCGGGGCCGCACGCGCGCUACACUGAAGGAAGCAGCGUGUAACAACCUUGUUCUAACGAACUGGGUAACCCGUGGAACUUCCUUCAUGAUUGGGAUAGGGGUUUGCAAUUGUGCCCCUUGAACGAGGAAUUCCCAGUAAACACUAGUCAUCAGCUAGUGCUGAUUACGUCCCUGCCCUUUGUACACACCGCCCGUCGCUACUACCGAUUGAAUGGUUUAGUGA
RNAcentral lists this ribosomal RNA (519 nucleotides) under uncultured eukaryote. RNAcentral's name for it is "SSU rRNA". It matches the Rfam family "Eukaryotic small subunit ribosomal RNA", at positions 1161 to 1704 of the family's 1831-position model. The record is from RNAcentral.